GUUUAGUUUAGGAACAGCCCUUCAGUUGACCACGAGAGAUGGAGGGAGGAGGUCACGCGCUCUUAGGUCGAGACUUUCAUCCUGACGCAGGCGGUAAGUCUCCUCCUGCGUGUGGGCGUCUGAGGGCUUGUUCCUGAGGGCGUUGGGGCGUGGGGAGGGCGCGGGAGUGGCCUGGCUAGGAUGGUUGAGAGUGAUGCUGCCCACAGACCCCCAGUUGUGCAUUAUAGCUGAGUACCUCUUGUGUGACUGUCAAAAGAAACGAGAGGUGAAGUUGUCUCAAGAUCAGGAUCAAGUGAGGGCCUUAAAAUUGUUGAUGACGAUGAUGGUGGUGAUGGUGGUGGUGUGUUGAGGCAUCGAGUGUGGAGAGUCAACAGAGGGCCACAAGACUGCCACUUCUACACAUCUUGUCACUGAGGCUUCAAUGAUACCUGAGAAGCCUCGCCCAACUGACACCGCCUGUGCUGAACGUCAAUUAAAGUGUCUCAGGUGUUCAGCGUGUUAUGUUAAGGUCAAACACCUGUCCGCACCUUCACUACCUCCAAAGGCUUAACCCUUUAGUACCAUGACGCGUUUCCACAUUCAUUAUGUUGGGGAUUAAAGUAGUGAAUACUCUG
Molecule: long non-coding RNA, 614 nt
Organism: Portunus trituberculatus (swimming crab)
Lineage: Eukaryota; Metazoa; Arthropoda; Malacostraca; Decapoda; Portunidae
Exons: 3
Source: RefSeq, a predicted model, not a curated record